This 347-nucleotide ribosomal RNA is filed under the name Petrolisthes armatus (green porcelain crab). Its description in RNAcentral is "partial 12S ribosomal RNA". The record is from RNAcentral. Lineage: Eukaryota; Metazoa; Arthropoda; Malacostraca; Decapoda; Porcellanidae.
AGUUUGAUUUUUGCUUAAGGAUUUUACUUUUAAGUUAUAAUUAGAAUUGUCUAUAAUAUAUGGAAAGUUUAAAUAAAAAGUUUUAAGUCGUUCAAUAUAUAAAACUAAAUUAUUAAUGAAAAUUAGAUUUGGUAACUUAAAUUAGUCCUGGUAAAAUCUUGUGCCAGCAGCCGCGGUUAUACUUGAAGGGCAAGUAAAAUAUUUCGGGAUAAAAAUUCUUAUUUUAUUGAAUUAAAAUAAAUUUAAAUUUUAAAAAGGUAAAAUUAUCUAAAAUUUGAUACUAUUUUAUUUUUAUAAUAAAAGAAAAGUUGUAAAAUUUAGAGCAUAAACUAGGAUUAGAUCCCCCU